RNAcentral lists this long non-coding RNA (261 nucleotides) under Ananas comosus (pineapple). RNAcentral describes it as "long non-coding RNA (ACOM_LNC023176)". The record is from RNAcentral. Lineage: Eukaryota; Viridiplantae; Streptophyta; Magnoliopsida; Poales; Bromeliaceae.
AAUUUGGCAGAAAAGUAAUAAAAAUUAUAGUUGAUUUAUUUAAAAUUUAAUUUAUUUUUCAAAUUUAAUUAGAUUUAAAAUUUUAAAUUCUGUUGAAAAACUUAUGAGGGUUAUAUUUAUGUCAUGCCCUGAGUUCCGUCAUAGGGAUCCGUUUAGGCAAGUACAAUACACCCACCAAACGGACAAUAUUUUUUCUAUCCACACGAAGCAGAAACAUACCUCUAUAUCAUGCCAUGAGUACAAUACAACAUCAGAAUACUG